GAUGAACGCUGGCGGCGUGCCUAAUACAUGCAAGUCGAGCGAACAGAUGAGGAGCUUGCUCCUCUGACGUUAGCGGCGGACGGGUGAGUAACACGUGGAUAACCUACCUAUAAGACUGGGAUAACUUCGGGCAACCGGAGCUAAUACCGGAUAAUAUAUUGAACCGCAUGGUUCAAUAGUGAAAGACGGUUUUGCUGUCCCUUAUAGAUGGAUCCGCGCCGCAUUAGCUAGUUGGUAAGGUAACGGCUUACCAAGGCGACGAUGCGUAGCCGACCUGAGAGGGUGAUCAGCCACACUGGAACUGAGACACGGUCCAGACUCCUACGGGAGGCAGCAGUAGGGAAUCUUCCGCAAUGGGCGAAAGCCUGACGGAGCAACGCCGCGUGAGUGAUGAAGGUCUUCGGAUCGUAAAACUCUGUUAUUAGGGAAGAACAAAUGUGUAAGUAAAUAUGCACGUCUUGACGGUACCUAAUCAGAAAGCCACGGCUAACUACGUG
This 497-nucleotide ribosomal RNA is filed under the name uncultured bacterium. Its description in RNAcentral is "partial 16S ribosomal RNA". It matches the Rfam family "Bacterial small subunit ribosomal RNA", at positions 28 to 507 of the family's 1533-position model. The record is from RNAcentral.